CUAGCACCAUACUCCAUUGAUCACUUUCACCUUGGAUGACUGUAAAAUCCUGAAACUACUGUCUCCAUUUUCCAAGCAUUGUGAUUACAGGCCUGUGCCACCAUAUCUGGUUGAGUGCCCCGGCCUGCAGUGGUUCAGAGGAGACCUGAGAGGGGGCGAAAGAAUGGAGGACAGGAGGCACAAGGAAGGAGAGCAAGUCUGUGUUCUGAUCAAGCUCUCAAACUUUAAUGAACAAAAACAGCAGCUUAUAAAGACAAGCAGGUAUGGACUGAUAAGAACAGAUGCUGGAGACAGAAGCUGUGAAAGUGAUAAGAAAGGACAUCUGGCUUCUAUGUCCCAGAGGGUGUCAGUGGGCUUGACCUUCCUGAAACAUUCCUGAGAGAGAGGGAAGCACAACUCACAUCAGAGGUCACCUGACAUGCAUUGUGGGCUCCCACUGCUGCCAAAUGAGUCCAGAAAACACUCAGAUUCUAUUAGGGAAUGUCAAUAAAAUAAGGAAUCAAGGUGGAUAUAUUUCACAAUACACUAUUCAACUUGCAGGAGGGUGAACUAUCACAUUCACAGGAGAACUGUUCUAAGAAGAUUCCAAUUAAAAAGAAAUUAAGAUACAAAA
Non-coding RNA from Rattus norvegicus (Norway rat), 613 nucleotides. The record is from RefSeq and is a predicted model, not a curated record. NCBI's taxonomy places the organism in Eukaryota, Metazoa, Chordata, Mammalia, Rodentia, Muridae.